RNAcentral lists this ribosomal RNA (414 nucleotides) under uncultured microorganism. RNAcentral's name for it is "bacterial SSU rRNA". It matches the Rfam family "Archaeal small subunit ribosomal RNA", at positions 459 to 872 of the family's 1478-position model. The record is from RNAcentral.
CAGCAGCCGCGGUAAUACCGGCGGCCCGAGUGGCGGCCACUAUUAUUGGGCUUAAAGCGUCCGUAGCCGGGUUGGUUAGUCUCCCGGGAAAUCUGGCCGCUUAACGGUCAGAAUUCCGGGAGAUACUGCCAGCCUAGGGACCGGGAGAGGCCGAGGGUAUUCCCGGAGUAGGGGUGAAAUCCUAUAAUCCCGGGAGGACCACCUGUGGCGAAGGCGCUCGGCUGGAACGGGUCCGACGGUGAGGGACGAAGGCCAGGGGAGCAAACCGGAUUAGAUACCCGGGUAGUCCUAGCUGUAAACGAUGCGGACUUUGUGUCGGACAAGCUAUGAGCUUGUCCGGUGCCGGAGGGAAACCGUUAAGUCCGCCGCCUGGGGAGUACGGCCGCAAGGCUGAAACUUAAAGGAAUUGGCGGG